GCUCAGAUAGCUCAGUUGGUAGAGCAAGGGACUGAAAAUCCCUGUGUCACUAGUUCAAUCCUAGUUCUGAGCA
This 73-nucleotide transfer RNA is filed under the name Eubacterium sp. Its description in RNAcentral is "tRNA-Phe". It matches the Rfam family "tRNA". Rfam says of the family: Transfer RNA (tRNA) molecules are approximately 80 nucleotides in length. Their secondary structure includes four short double-helical elements and three loops (D, anti-codon, and T loops). The record is from RNAcentral. Lineage: Bacteria; Bacillati; Bacillota; Clostridia; Eubacteriales; Eubacteriaceae.